Molecule: long non-coding RNA, 500 nt
Filed under: Homo sapiens (human)
Lineage: Eukaryota; Metazoa; Chordata; Mammalia; Primates; Hominidae
Description: novel transcript, antisense to INO80
Source: RNAcentral
UAUUCUUCCUUGGUAAAGUCACUUGACUGCUGACAGUCUGUUUCCUGGACUAUAAAAUGAAGAUGCUAUGAAUACUGCUGAAGUGACUAACUGAUGACGUAUCAAUGUCAAACAUAAGUAUCGGUGAAAGAACUAUUUUGAAAUAAACAUCCUGGUUAAUCACUAAGGUCUAAGGAGGAAAACUGAAGACGAAGUUCAACAGACCCGUCACUAGUGGAGCCUGGCUUUCUCCUUGGAGAAAGCAGUAACCAGACUCUACCUAUUACAAUGAGAAGCUGCACUCAGGAUAAUUAUGGCUCGGUAAACCAUCAGCAUUCAGCAGGCAGUAAUUGAAAUUUCAUAGGCUCAUUAGCAGGUGGGAGAGGUACUGUGGCUGAGAGCUGCCAGCUGAGUAGAUUGUACAGUAUUGCAAUUUGUCAUAAGGCACUGUACUGCUACUAUGUUAAAAGGAAAGCAGGAAAAUAAAAGGUACUUUUUCUUAUACAAAAUGAAACACAGAA